UAUAUUGCUGCAGACAUUAACAUUUGAAAAGAUGGAAAAUUGAAACACUCAAGACUAAGGACCAACCAAAAGAGAAAAGGAAUCAGUCUCACCAAAUAGCAAUGAAAUUUCCAUAAGAGCCAAUAAGGAGGUGGCCAUCCAAUGGGGCAAAAAUAAUGAAAAAGCAUUCAGGCAAGGGUAGCCAAUAAAUCCAACAUCAUCAACAACAAUGCAGGGUACUGUUUCCUGCCCUCAAAUUGGGCAUAGCCUACCAUUAGUGUUUG
This 263-nucleotide unclassified non-coding RNA is filed under the name Hevea brasiliensis (rubber tree). The record is from RNAcentral. Lineage: Eukaryota; Viridiplantae; Streptophyta; Magnoliopsida; Malpighiales; Euphorbiaceae.